AUACUUACCUGACAGGGGAGAUACUAUAAUCAAGAAGGUGGCUCACCCAGAACGAGGCUGAGCCAUUGCAUUCCAGUUGUACUGACCCCUGCGACAGUAAGUGGGAGUUUAUUCCACUAGUACUUGAGGUACUGAUCGGGCUUUGACCAUUG
The sequence is a small nuclear RNA, 152 nucleotides long. Its record names the gene U1. It matches the Rfam family "U1 spliceosomal RNA". From Rfam's summary of the family: U1 is a small nuclear RNA (snRNA) component of the spliceosome (involved in pre-mRNA splicing). The record is from Ensembl.